Molecule: ribosomal RNA, 253 nt
Filed under: uncultured bacterium
Lineage: Bacteria
Description: partial 16S ribosomal RNA
Rfam family: Bacterial small subunit ribosomal RNA
Source: RNAcentral
UACGUAGGGACCAAGCGUUGUCCGGAAUUAUUGGGCGUAAAGAGCUCGUAGGCGGUCUGUCGCGUCUGCUGGGAAAACUCAGGGCUUAACCCUGAGCUUGCAGUGGGUACGGGCAGACUAGAGUGCGGUAGGGGAGACUGGAAUUCCUGGUGUAGCGGUGAAAUGCGCAGAUAUCAGGAGGAACACCGGUGGCGAAGGCGGGUCUCUGGGCCGAUACUGACGCUGAGGUGCGAAAGCGUGGGGAGCAAACAGG